AGCGGCGGCGGCGCGUCCGCGGGCGGCGGGAGCUUCGCAUGCGCGGAGCGAGGCCCGAUGUCGUCGGAGGAGAACAAGUGCGUGGAGCAGCCGCAGCCACCACCCCCCGAGGAGCCUGGAGCCCCGGCCCCGAGCCCCCCAGCCGCAGACAAAAGACCUCGGGGCCGGCCUCGCAAGGCGCUUCCCCUUUCCAGAGAGCCAGAAAGAACAGCAAGAUUAAGAAAAUUGUGCAUUCAAUUAUAUCAUCCUUUGCAUUUGGACUAUUUGGAGUUUUCCUGGUCUUACUGGAUGUCACUCUCGUCCUUGCCGACCUAAUUUUCACUGACAGCAAACUUUAUAUUCCUUCGGAGUAUCGUUCUAUUUCUCUAGCUAUUGCCUUAUUUUUUCUCAUGGAUGUUCUUCUUCGAGUAUUUGUAGAAGGUUUUUGAUCUAGGCCCUGAUUCCCAGACAGCACCUUUGGAUCCACCUGGAGGCUAGGAGAACUUGCCAUCCUGAAGGGAAGGACACAGGCCUGGCUGUUUUUACCAUCUGAUGACUGUAGAGCCCCAGGGCCUUCAGCAAACUCCUGCAAUAGCUAACAAGUGGUUACAGCAGGUCUUGGGCAAGACCCCGUGCUGUGCUGGCCUCAGGUCUGACCCAAUGCAGUCACAGUAGUGGUGGCCACACAGGUGCUUAUGUCACUCAACCCCAAGCUUUAGGUGCCUCAGAACAGAGAGAGAGACUCUGUUUGUUUGGGAGAAAGCAAGGGAAGAAAACAAGAGUCUCUUUUUGGUAAUGCAGAGAAUUAUCCUGGAUCUUGUCCAAGACCAUUAAGGCCACUAUGAGUCUGCAAGAACCAGAGUUUAGGAGGCUUGGGGUGCCCCCUAAAGCAGAUAGAGAUUAGAUCACAGUAUCCAAGUUCUUUCAAAUAUCUGGAAAGCCUUCCCAAGAACGAUGGGCACAAACAAGCCCUGACAGGGAAAACUACAAUAAAUACAGUGAAAACUACAACCAAUACCUAACUCUUCAAUGCCCAGACACCAAAGAACAUAUGCUAGCAUCAACACUAUCCAAGAAAACAUGACCUCACCAAAUGAACUAAAUAAGACACCAGGGGCCAAUCCUGUAGAAACAGAGAUAUGUGACCUUUCAGACAAAUCAAAAUAGCUGUGUUGAGGAAACUCAAAGAAAUUCAAGAUACAACAGAGAAGGAAUUCAUAAUUCUAUUAGAUAAGUUUAACAAAGAGAUUGAAAUAAUUUAAAAGAAUCAAGCAGAAAUUCUGGAGCCAAAAAAUGUAAUUGGCAUGCCAAAGAAUGCAUUAGAGUCUUUUAAUGCAGAAUUGAUAAACCAGAAGAAAGAAAGAAUGAGCUUGAAGACAGGCUAUUUCAAAAUACAUAGAGGAGACAAAGGAAAGAAUAAAAAACAAUGACACAUGCCUACAGAAUCUAGAAAAUAGCCUCAAAAGGACAAAUCUAAGUGGUAUUGGCCUUAAAGAGGAGGUGGGGAGUGUAGAAAGUGUAUUCAAAGGGAUAGUAACAGAACGUCCCAAACCUACAGAAAGAUAUCAAUAUCCAAGUACAAGAAAGUUAUAAAACACCGAGCAGAUGUAACUCAAAGAAGACUACCUCAAGGAAUUUAAUAAUCACAGUCCCAAAGAUCAAGGAUAAAGAAAGGAUCUUAAAAGCAGCAAGAGAAAAGAAACCAAUAAUAUACAAUGGAGCUACAAUAUAUCUGGCAGGAGACUCUUUAGUAGAAACGUUUCAGGCCAGGAGAGAGUGGCAUGACAUAUUGAAAGUGCUGAAGGAAAAAAACAUUUACCCUAGAACAGUGUAUCCAGUGAAAAUAUCCUUCAAAGUGAAGGGGAAAUAAAGACUUUUCCACACAAAAGCUGAGGGAUUUUGUCAACACCAGACCUGUCCUAGAAGAAAUGCUAAAGGGAAUAUUUCAAUCAGGAAAGAUAAGGACAUUAAUGAGCAAUAAGUAACAACCUGAAGGUAUAAAACUCACUGGUAAUAGGUAUACAGAAAAAUGCAGAAUGUUAUAACACUGUAACUAUGAUGUAUAAAC
RNAcentral lists this long non-coding RNA (2047 nucleotides) under Homo sapiens (human). RNAcentral's name for it is "non-protein coding lnc-IL17RA-36:3". Lineage: Eukaryota; Metazoa; Chordata; Mammalia; Primates; Hominidae. The record is from RNAcentral.